CACCGCGGUUAUACGAGAGGCCCAAGUUGAUAGACUCCGGCGUAAAGAGUGGUUAAGAUACAUUUAUUAAAACUAAAGCCGAACGCCUUCAGGGCUGUUAUACGCUCCCGAAGAUAAGAAGUUCAACCACGAAAGUGGCUUUAUACCCACUGAACCCACGAAAGCUAUGACA
This 172-nucleotide ribosomal RNA is filed under the name Kyphosus azureus (zebra-perch sea chub). RNAcentral's name for it is "partial small subunit ribosomal RNA". Lineage: Eukaryota; Metazoa; Chordata; Actinopteri; Centrarchiformes; Kyphosidae. The record is from RNAcentral.